GGGAUUAUAUCAUAUCAGCCCAGAGAGACAAAAGGGUUAAUUAUCAGCUUGUAACUCGUGACAUGAAACCUCUGGCAAAGUAGCCCAGAUCUAGGCUUGAACCCUCCACAGCUGACCUGGGGGGGGAGGAGUGCGGUCUCACCCUCUGAAUCAGGCUUCACUGGCUCAGACGCUGAAACAGAAUCUAGCCAACAUACACAUAACUGUCAGAUAGCUUGGAAUUAAAUUAAAUGGACUUGAGAAGCAUUGGUCAGAGGAGCGCAACUUAAUGCUUUGUCCAACAGGUGUCUCUAACUGCGAGGGAGGGAGGGAGGAGGAGGGUGUUUGACAUAAUAAAUACACAAAAAGGGAACAUUAUUGUUGGUUCCACUUCACAGUUGAUUCAUGGGGAUUCAGGACAACGUUAUCACAAAACUGAUUUCUGGAGUACUGGCCGACAAGGAGGACCAUUGGUUUGCUCUGGAAAUCUGCUGCCUCCAAAGCCGGAGAGUGGAAAUCAUGAAAAAGAAAAGCACAAGCUGGCUCCAACCAGAAGAGAAAGAGGAGUGGAACUGAACAAUAAGAUAACAGAAGCCUCCCAGGUCCUCAACUGGCCGCUUCAUUAAAUAGUACCUGCAAAACACCAGUCUCAACAGUGAAGAGGCAACUCUGGGAUGCUGGCCUUUGCUGGUUGCAAAGUCAAAUUCAUAUCUCAGACUGGCCAAUAAAUAGAUUAAAAAGUUUGCAGGUGCCAAUUUUUAUUACUAUUUCUAACCGUGUCAAUAUUUUGUAAUAAUUUUGCUAUAUUUCCUAUUCUAACUCGCUGUGUGUAUGUUUUGAUGAAAAACCAGGACAUUUCUGAGUGACCUCCAUCUUUUGAACAGUAGUGUAGGCCCAUCUCAUGACAGUGGAUCACAUAAACACUUGACGAGUAAAAUGAACACUCCUGGUGUUAAAGGAACAGUCUGAAAUGUACUGUGUCGACAAACACCAACAUUUUCUGCUAAUAGGAAAGGAUGUUAGCAAAUGAAUCAACAUCAUUCCAAACACCAACACAACAUGGACACACACACACAUGGUUCCAUUCUGUACUUGUCAACGUUGUCAUAUAGUGACCAACACUUUACCGGCAAUGCAAACACAACAACAUACAGGACCACUAACAUUGAACCUUGGUGCUCAUUAGAUAUGGGCUUGUCUUUGAGGCUAAAGAUAAGUCAGUCUUAGCUUUCCAAAGAGGAAGAUAUAUCAUAUCUAAUAUUAAUAAUAAUAAUAAUUUUACAUCUAUCAUCAGCAUUCUAUCGGAGCUAUGGUUUUGGUAGACUGCUAUAAUAUACAUACACACUGCAGCUGUAGUUUGAUGAUGGACAGAUAGCCCAUCGAGUCAGCCAGGCCUGGGAGUCCCAGUCUCUCUUAACCAGCUCGGAUCCCCUCAGAGUAAGAUACAUCCUGGAGGUCCAGACCAUCACCAUGGUUACAGCCUGCCGUCUCUGUGAAGCUCUGGCUGCUCUCUGUUGUCUGGGGCCGAGGGAACACAUCCUAUCCCCCCCCCCACCCUCCCCCUCCCCCUCCCCCUCCCCCUCUCUC
Hypomesus transpacificus is the source of this 1566-nucleotide long non-coding RNA. RefSeq lists it as uncharacterized. The transcript is spliced from 3 exons. The record is from RefSeq and is a predicted model, not a curated record. Lineage: Eukaryota; Metazoa; Chordata; Actinopteri; Osmeriformes; Osmeridae.